UACAGAGGGUGCGAGCGUUGUCCGGAAUCACUGGGCGUAAAGGGCGCGUAGGUGGUCGGGUAAGCGUGUGGUGAAAGCCCGGGGCUCAACCCCGGGUCGGCCAUGCGAACUGCCCGACUGGAGCACGGUAGAGGCCAAUGGAAUUCCGGGUGUAGCGGUGGAAUGCGUAGAGAUCCGGAAGAACACCGGUGGCGAAGGCGGUUGGCUGGGCCGUGGCUGACACUGAGGCGCGACAGCGUGGGGAGCAAACAGG
Molecule: ribosomal RNA, 253 nt
Filed under: uncultured bacterium
Lineage: Bacteria
Description: partial 16S ribosomal RNA
Rfam family: Bacterial small subunit ribosomal RNA
Source: RNAcentral